RNAcentral lists this ribosomal RNA (253 nucleotides) under uncultured bacterium. RNAcentral's name for it is "partial 16S ribosomal RNA". It matches the Rfam family "Bacterial small subunit ribosomal RNA", at positions 524 to 776 of the family's 1533-position model. The record is from RNAcentral.
UACGUAGGGGGCAAGCGUUGUCCGGAUUUAUUGGGCGUAAAGGGCGUGUAGGCGGUUAGGUAGGUCCGUUGUGAAAACUCGAGGCUCAACCUCGAGACGCCGAUGGAAACCAUCUAACUAGAGUCCGGAAGAGGAGAAUGGAAUUCCUGGUGUAGCGGUGAAAUGCGCAGAUAUCAGGAAGAACACCCGUGGCGAAGGCGGUUCUCUGGGACGGUACUGACGCUGAGACGCGAAAGCGUGGGGAGCGAACAGG